Molecule: long non-coding RNA, 3494 nt
Organism: Uranotaenia lowii
Lineage: Eukaryota; Metazoa; Arthropoda; Insecta; Diptera; Culicidae
Exons: 10
Source: RefSeq, a predicted model, not a curated record
GUGUUUCGUUUUGGUGCGUGAUUGUUGUGUUGUGAAUGUUUCCGCUGUUUUUGUUCAGAAACAUUUUGAGCGCUGUAGUAAAAGAAACCAUUGUCCGGCGAUAAUUUAAUAAUAAGCAAGUAAACAUCGGCUCAUGCAAACAAAGCUUCCAAGGAAAUGUCCCGUGUGUAAAAGCUUUGGUGGAAUUUCAUCCCGGACAUCGUUCCCGGACCCACUCAGAGGUGGUGGCUUCACUUGGAUGAAUUUUAAUUAGUUUUUGGCGUGAUACUUAAAAGUGGAAAGCAAGAUCUCUUGCGCUUACAGUUCCAUGAUGCGAACGUAUGAAGUCGUAUGGGGUAUAUGGUCGACUUUGCCGGUCCAUCAUUUUAAUGCAAAAAAAAAAAAUUAACGCGCACAACAGAAGAAGAGGAAAUCAAACAUAAAACUGGCCCCGUUUCCGUUUGUGAAGCUGUUUUCAUUAGUGGUAGCACUAUGCAAUAACUAAUGCCUUCUUCAGCAGUCUCGCCAAACUGGAAAAGCGGUGAACUUGACAGUAAUCCCGGUGGAUUAGAACAAAGUCUUCGUGAAUCCUCCACUUCCAGCCGACAUAAUGGGAAGUUCAACACCGUCACUCAACUAUUAGCUUAAAAGCAGCAAAAACUGUUGGUGUCAGCAGCAACUGCUACAGCAGUAUCAGCAUCGGAUUUUCACCUGCUGCGUCGUCGAAACCUUCGGUGGCCGGAUCCAAUUUCGGGUCGACUAUGCGAGACCGCGCCCCCACCAUCUGCAACAAUAGGCUGUGCUAAAUGCUAAAUUCAGAUAAUAAGUACAAACAGUCUUACUCCCGUUGGCAGGAAGCGAUGUGAUGAUAGAAUGAAAGCUACAGAUUUAGAGGAAUACUAGAGCUGAGAACGAGUUGCUGCGUAUGAGGACGAUAACAGGUAAUCAAAGCUCUUGUAAUAAUAUUUUUUGCUAUUUAUUACAUUAUUUCAGUAUUUGUCCUAAAGCUAUUUUUUUACUGAAGUGCAGCAGUUGUAAAAGGAUCCACUAGAUGCAACAUAAUAAAAGGGGCGCUAAGACGGACGAAUGCUGUGGUCCUGUGUGUAUUCAUCGUAUACCGUGGAUUCCUCGCAAUGCAUGUGAAGACGUUUUUGGCUCAGGAGAUUGCCAUCGAUGCUAGUAUCAAUCUGCAGGAUAAUUGCACAUAAAAAGAAUCGUCCGUUCAACAUGAUUUUUUUUAACUCAUCGCUUUUGGAAUUUCUACAAACAGCUAAAUCGGACGAUGUCGAUUCGAUGAUGGACGUAAAAGAGCGAAAGGUUACUUAUAAUGGUUUACCGAACUCUCUGACUCCGAAGUUUGUCCCAACCAAGCAGCUGUUGCUGAUGACUAUGAGUUUCGAUUACGUAGCUUUGUAGAGAUUAGCUAUAGGAAUUCUAGUAAUUUGAUGACAGCUCCAGAUGAUGUUGAAGUAAAUAAAUAACGAUUUUCCACUUUCACUGACGAGUUGUUACCUUGUCGCGAUAGCGAUGCCACAGACACGGUCAGUGAAUGCAAUCGUCGCGAAAGUGGGUGAAACUAAAUUUGGGCCCAGUCAUAGCUUCCCUACCAAUCACCCACCGUACAAUUAAUAGCUCUGGUAUGGAUGUCCUUCACGUGCCUACAUCACAGCCUCCACCGCUUGGUCGGUCCAGUGAAAAAGAUGCAUGCACUAUACUUUUGUCGGAAGAUGAAUCCCUCAAACAAGCGUUUUGGCAGAAAAAACUGAACCCGCAUUUUGAUUCGAUCACCCGGGAGAAUUUUUUUAGUUGCCAUUAGCAAUGAUAUUAAUCUGCAGAAUGAUUCUGGUAGCCAUUUUUAUAGCCGUAACUUUUAACAUGAAACGUCAAAGAUGUAAAUGCGAGGAAAAUGCAUUAAGAAAAAUUCAAUAAAAUGAAUUUGAAGAUGAUUUACCGUGAUUUACCAUCGAAAUAAACCUCCGGUGGUACAGAACAAGGUCAUCAACAAAAAAAAGCCCAGUAGCAACAGCAACAGAAGCAUCAAAGCUAGCCCAAAACUUUGAUAACGGAGGUGUUGAAAAACUAGUAUCUUGUCAACCAAUUUCGUAAAUCGAGUCUACCAUUUCCGAAAAUUUCGGAAGGUACGAAACCGCAGUUAGACCAAGUAUAUCAACUACUUAAUCAAUAUUCCUCCGUAUUUUCUCGGAUAAUGAUGAAGUUGUGAAAAAAUCGGGAUCUCAACCUACUAGGAAAACAAGUUCGACUGCUACCACUGCAUGUGCUACAACAACAAUUGGUGCACCAACGUUCAGCUCCGGAACGAUGACUGGUAAUUUGGGUGAUUCUAUUUACGAUCAGUAUUGGUCAGUGAGAUCAUCGAAAGGAAUUUUAAUGAACAAGUUUUUUUUUAAUGUUAUUUUCAGUCAACAGAAAAAAUUUUUACGAGCAACGUUCGGCUGCAUCAAUUCGAUGGGUUCCAGAUCGAAAAGCAGGACAAGUAUUCACAUGAGAUGAAACUGUCAAUAUAGACGUACCUACCACAUCCUUAAAAUCGUCGAGUGCUUCAACAGCAUCAGACAAACAGAUUGAGCUGAGGAAAAUCGGGCGUUGGAAGUGUUUAGUCGAAUUAUUUGGAACGUUCGCAAGGGACUGUCAUUGCAGCAGCAGCGACAGAGAUUUCUUGGAGGCAAGCAUCAAUGCCAACACUGAUGGUGGUCGCACACAAGACCAAUUUAAUGGCUACGAUAAGUCGGACUGAGCCAAUCUUUCCCAACGGAUACCGCGGCCUGCCUAACCUACACUAUGAAGCACACAAGAAAAAAGUUCGACCUAAAUUCCUUGGCUGUGUACUGUGAAGAUUCUAUCGAAAUAUUCACAAACUGCUCUUCGAAGGCCCCAUUCUAAAAGAACUCUAGGUAGGGAUUGUAUGGAAUAUAUAUUUUUUACCACUCCCAACAAUGAAUAGAGCGAAUUAAUUAAAAAAAAAAAAAAGGAAACCCAGUAGCGCCACGACCAAUGAAGAGCCGUCAUCUGGUGCUGGAAACGGUUAUGACGCAGUCAUUCCCUCAGUGGUUGCAUCAACAAUUUCCGUUCCGAAGGCCACCACCAUUCCUUCCAUCCCACCAGGAAUGUUCGCCCAACACAUCGUAUCAGCCGCUGCUUAUACCUCUUCUUGUGCCAUUGCCGAUUAAGAAGCGGAAGAUGGUGACGACGAUGAUGCAUCGUUUCCAGCGAAUAUGAUCUUCGGCCAGUCAAAAUGGGCGAUGAAGAUUAGAAUCAGGUGUUCUGUGGCCGUUCAAAGUUGUUCAGGACGACAAACAGUUUAAGAGGCCUCGGCGAGUUGAAAUUUUGUGUAGCAAAACUGAUCCAAGCAAAUUUCGAAUUGUCAUGCGAGGCGAACAGAUGGACAAAAUUGCUGCCAACCAUUCCAUUGAAUAAGCUUGCGCCAAACAUCGCAAUGUUUUAUAGUCGAAGAGGCACCAAACGAAUGUAUUAGAAGAACAAAAACUAAAAAAUAA